UUUUUGUUUUUUUAUUAAAAAUGUUUUCUGCUCAGUGUUUAUUAAACAGCCGCGGUAAUUUGACCGUGCAAAGGUAGCAUAAUCACUUGUUCUGUAAUUUAGGGCUUGUAUGAAUGGAUUUAUCGAGAAUUUUUCUGUCUUUAAAUUUUUUAUAGAAAUUGUAUUUUAUGUGAAGAUACAUAAAUUUUUAAAUAGGACAAGAAGACCCUUUGAGCUUUAUUAUUUUUGUUUUUUUAAAAUGACGUUAAUUUGGUUGGGGUGACCGGGAAAGAUUUUGAUCUUUCUUUUAUUUUAUUGUGAACCAACAGUGUUGGAAUACAGAACAAGUUACCGAAGGGAUAACAGCGUAAUUUUUUUUGAGAGUUCUUAUUAAAAGAGGAGAUUGCGACCUCGAUGUUGACUUAUAGUAUCUUUUUGGUGUAGUAGCUGAAUUA
Molecule: ribosomal RNA, 434 nt
Filed under: Tetranemertes sp. ETP001
Lineage: Eukaryota; Metazoa; Nemertea; Enopla; Monostilifera; Poseidonemertidae
Description: partial large subunit ribosomal RNA
Rfam family: Bacterial large subunit ribosomal RNA
Source: RNAcentral